GAUCUGGCUCAGGAUGAACGCUAGCUACAGGCUUAACACAUGCAAGUCGAGGGGCAGCAUGGGAGUUGCUUGCAAUCCUGAUGGCGACCGGCGCACGGGUGAGUAACGCGUAUCCAACCUUCCCCUUAGUAGGGCAUAGCCCGGUGAAAAUCGGAUUAACACCCUAUGUUCUUCACAGCAGACAUCUAACGUGAAGCAAAGGUUCACCGCUAAGGGAUGGGGAUGCGUCUGAUUAGGUAGUAGGCGGGGUAACGGCCCACCUAGCCUUCGAUCAGUAGGGGUUCUGAGAGGAAGGUCCCCCACAUUGGAACUGAGACACGGUCCAAACUCCUACGGGAGGCAGCAGUGAGGAAUAUUGGUCAAUGGGCGAGAGCCUGAACCAGCCAAGUAGCGUGCAAGGAUGACGGCCCUAUGGGUUGUAAACUGCUUUUAUAUGGGGAUAAAGUUCACCACGUGUGGUGUUUUGUAGGUACCAUAUGAAUAAGGACCGGCUAAUUCCGUGCCAGCAGCAGC
Molecule: ribosomal RNA, 513 nt
Filed under: uncultured bacterium
Lineage: Bacteria
Description: bacterial SSU rRNA
Rfam family: Bacterial small subunit ribosomal RNA
Source: RNAcentral